GAUGUGUAGGAUAGGUGGGAGGCUUUGAAGCGUGGACGCCAGUCUGCGUGGAGCCGACCUUGAAAUACCACCCUUUAAUGUUUGAUGUUCUAACGUGGACCCGUUACCCGGGUUGCGGACAGUGUCUGGUGGGUAGUUUGACUGGGGCGGUCUCCUCCUAAAGAGUAACGGAGGAGCACGAAGGUUGGCUAAUCCUGGUCGGACAUCAGGAGGUUAGUGCAAUGGCAUAAGCCAGCUUGACUGCGAGCGUGACGGCGCGAGCAGGUGCGAAAGCAGGUCAUAGUGAUCCGGUGGUUCUGAAUGGAAGGGCCAUCGCUCAACGGAUAAAAGGUACUCCGGGGAUAACAGGCUGAUACCGCCCAAGAGUUCAUAUCGACGGCGGUGUUUGGCACCUCGAUGUCGGCUCAUCACAUCCUGGGGCUGAAGUAGGUCCCAAGGGUAUGGCUGUUCGCCAUUUAAAGUGGUACGCGAGCUGGGUUUAGAACGUCGUGAGACAGUUCGGUCCCUAUCUGCCGUGGGCGCUGGAGAACUGAGGGGGGCUGCUCCUAGUACGAGAGGACCGGAGUGGACGCAUCACUGGUGUUCGGGUUGUCAUGCCAAUGGCACUGCCCGGUAGCUAAAUGCGGAAGAGAUAAGUGCUGAAAGCAUCUAAGCACGAAACUUGCCCCGAGAUGAGUUCUCCCUGAGACUUAGAGUCUCCUGAAGGAACGUUGAAGACGACGACGUUGAUAGGCCGGGUGUGUAAGCGCAGCGAUGCGUUGAGCUAACCGGUACUAAUGAACCGUGAGGCUUAACCUUACAACGCCGAAG
RNAcentral lists this ribosomal RNA (810 nucleotides) under Salmonella enterica subsp. enterica serovar Thompson. RNAcentral's name for it is "partial 23S ribosomal RNA". It matches the Rfam family "Bacterial large subunit ribosomal RNA", at positions 2133 to 2925 of the family's 2925-position model. The record is from RNAcentral. RNAcentral also lists the same sequence under 1 other name. Lineage: Bacteria; Pseudomonadati; Pseudomonadota; Gammaproteobacteria; Enterobacterales; Enterobacteriaceae.